AAGGACUGUCUAUAGUUUGAACUAUAAAAGUACGCGAUAACUGGUGCUGAGCGAAAUGGCAUCACUGCAGCGAUUGCCUUCCCUCUCUCGCAUUGAACUGUCAUUCAGAUAAACAAAAACGAGAGAAGUGAAUGGAUUAAACAAUUUGCUUGACUAACAGAAAUUCGAGGAAUAAAAUAAUGGGUUGAUUUUAAGGAUAAUAGUACCAUGUACUAUUCCUACGCAAUAGUCCGGAAUAAGUUCCAGUUGUGUUUCCUUGUGUAUAGAACCCGCGAUUAAGUGUGUGUCAAUAGCAACUUGAGUACGCCCCAGUUGUGGAAAAGCUUCUGUUGCUAUGGCUCCAAUUACCGAACCUCAAAUUUGCCGGAGUAAAACCCGUAUCUGUAUUCAACGAUUGUAUUAAACACACUCUUCGCUAAUGCUAUCAACAUCCAGGAUAUGAACAGGAAUAAAUAGGAAUGUUCAGGUAAAACUCACUUGCACAAUUUAUAAUAAUCAAUACAUUUAUGUCUACAUUUACUUUUUAGUGAAAAUUUGAUUCAUCCACACCGGUGAACCAAAA
This is a long non-coding RNA of Toxorhynchites rutilus septentrionalis, 562 nucleotides long. RefSeq lists it as uncharacterized. The record is from RefSeq and is a predicted model, not a curated record. The transcript has 3 exons. Lineage: Eukaryota; Metazoa; Arthropoda; Insecta; Diptera; Culicidae.